This is a long non-coding RNA of Poeciliopsis prolifica (blackstripe livebearer), 490 nucleotides long. RefSeq lists it as uncharacterized. The transcript has 3 exons. The record is from RefSeq and is a predicted model, not a curated record. Lineage: Eukaryota; Metazoa; Chordata; Actinopteri; Cyprinodontiformes; Poeciliidae.
GUCUUUUGUCUAAGACAAUAAGAAGUAUUUUAAAAGAGCUUAUGUUUUAUAAAGAAUUAAUUUGGUCCUAAGAGAUGAGCGUUAUUUUUCUGGUACCACAACACACCUUAAGGAGACGAGUGGAGUUCUUGCUUUGACCAAUCGGGGCAUUUUUAAGACAAACCCACAAUUAGGUGACAUCAAACUACAUGCCAGAGCUGAGUGAGACAUCAUCAGGAUACAGCUUAAAAACUGCUAUGUCAUUCUGACUGGAUAAGUGCAGUUUAAUUCAUAUCAAAGAGAAGCAAGAUGAUGAAAAGACAUGAGCCCCAACUACAAGAAGGAAACCUGGCAGAUUGUCAGAACAGCUAGCCUUGGGAUCCCACAGAUUAAUGGCAAGCAUUAAGUGACCAGUUCGGACCAAUUUAAGUCUCAGAUAUGGUUUUCUUAUGAGAGCUUUUAUCACAGUGUCUGAGGGUAUCUGUUGACAGACAGGCCUCAGUGAGGGAUA